AGAGUUUGAUCCUGGCUCAGAUUGAACGCUGGCGGCGUGCUUAACACAUGCAAGUCGUGCGAGAAAGGGGACUUCGGUCCCUGAGUAGAGCGGCGCACGGGUGAGUAACGCGUGGAUAAUCUCCCCAGAAGUUCGGGAUAACGGCGGGAAACUGCCGCUAAUACCGGAUACGCUCCAAUUUCGGUUGGGGGAAAGGCGGCCUCUGUUUACAAGCUGUCGCUUCUGGAUGAGUCCGCGUCCCAUUAGCUUGUUGGUGGGGUAAUGGCCUACCAAGGCUACGAUGGGUAGCUGGUCUGAGAGGAUGAUCAGCCACACUGGAACUGAAACACGGUCCAGACUCCUACGGGAGGCAGCAGUGGGGAAUAUUGCGCAAUGGGGGAAACCCUGACGCAGCGACGCCGUGUGAGGGAUGAAGGCUUUC
Molecule: ribosomal RNA, 421 nt
Filed under: uncultured bacterium
Lineage: Bacteria
Description: bacterial SSU rRNA
Rfam family: Bacterial small subunit ribosomal RNA
Source: RNAcentral